AUGCUGCUGGAGGACAACAUCAUCACUUUUGUGAAGAACGAGCUGAAGAAGAUCCAGAAGGUUCUGAGUCCAGAUUACCCAGAAUGCUUAGAGAGUCAGAGGAGCAGCAGCAGAGAGGCAUUUGUGAAGAUCACAGUGGACUUCCUGAGGAGAAUGAAGCAGGAGGAGCUGGCUGACCGUCUGCAGAGCAGUAAGAGGAUUUUUGUAAAAAGAUUUAACCUUCUGUGUCACGGCACUUGGUCUUCGACCCAGUCUUUCUAUCUUUCUGGACUUUACUGGGUUAUUGAAAUAUGCUAUGAGGCUAGUUUCAUGGUUAUGUUUACAUCAUGUAUAACGUAUGCAACCGCUGAAUCUUUUAUUAAACAAAUAUUGAACAAGUUCUCACAAUCACCUCUGUACAAUGGAAUAUAAUGUUUAAAUGAUUUGCCUGUGUAUAUUAAACCAUAACAGGACAUUUCACAUAUCUGUAGUAACAAAAUAACAGCCGGUCUAAAAAACUUCUUUCUGAAAACACUGCAUGUCUUUAAUGUGCUGCUUGCUUGUGACUUCUUGAUGUUGGUAAAUACAAUAAAUGAAAAAUACAUGUACAACACAUUAUGCUUCUGCUGUGAGGUCCUGCUAUUAAUCACUGGACAGCUGGACAGUUAUGUUUACAAAUAUUAUUGUAUUGCAUUUUGUGGAGUCAACAUUUGUUAGCAAGUACACCAGUAUGAUUACAAUAGCGCCAUGCACUUUCCUGAUGGGCCGUGUUCUCAGAAAGAAAUUUUCAGACCGGCUUUUUUUGUUGUUGUUGUUAUUACUGAUACAUGAUAUUCCAUCGGAAAGAGAUGAUUGUGAGAACUUGUUCAUUAUUUGUUCAAUAAACAAUUCAGCUGUUAAACUUUUCUGUUUGUAUUUCGUGGAAUCAACAUUUGUGUGUGAGUACACAAAAAACAAACUCACAACUGUACAAUGUACAGUGUAACUGUUACAGCCUCACUUUUUUUCACUAAUUGAAAAUAUUUUAAUCACAAUAAUACAACCUGAUGUGUAAAUAUUGGGAUGACCACUAGAUGGCUUCAGAUCUCCAUAAAAUAAAAAUCAGCAGAAACAUGAGACGUGCUCGUUUCUACACAAAUAAAUAAAACAAAGCAUUUUAAUUACGACAUGAAAAAGAAAAUACUCUAAAGUAGGUAUUAACGCUUAUUACGCUGACCUAUUAUUGCUCUUGUAUAUUACAGAUUAGUAUGAAGCAACUAUGAAAGGAGAGUUUUUACUGAGACCAUAAAACUACAUCUCCCUGAUGAUGACGACCAUGACGACGAUGUUAAAGAUGAUGACGACCAUGACGACGAUGAUAAAGAUGAUGACGACCAUGACGACGAUGAUAAAGAUGAUGACGAGUGCUUCACCAGAUCUCAAACUGCGUGUGUUCCUUGAAAGCUGCUCUGUGCACGCUGUUGUUGCUGAAGAGUCUAGAAAGAAACCAAAGCAGAGAGCAGACGUCAUUCACCCAGAACAACAUGAAUCCACGUGAGCUCAGGCUGUGAAUGAUUCCUCUGAGAGUCUGAGCAGAAACUCCUUCAUGUUGGCUCACCGCACAGAGUGGAUGGAGGGGUUGAUGGAGAGCAGCUGCAGUAACACAUCAGUCGAAGCAUCAGUGAACUGAUUGUGACUCAGACUGUAACACAAACACAACAAGUGUCUCUAACUGAUCGCUGCACAUUAUAUUACUGUAGUGUGUGUGAACAGGCUGAUGGGUAUUGGUGCUUCCCAGAGAAGGAUCAGUGUGUGACACUCACUCC
RNAcentral lists this long non-coding RNA (1784 nucleotides) under Oreochromis niloticus (Nile tilapia). Its description in RNAcentral is "lncRNA (ENSONIG00000029758.1)". Lineage: Eukaryota; Metazoa; Chordata; Actinopteri; Cichliformes; Cichlidae. The record is from RNAcentral.